RNAcentral lists this transfer RNA (72 nucleotides) under Camelus bactrianus (Bactrian camel). It matches the Rfam family "tRNA". Rfam says of the family: Transfer RNA (tRNA) molecules are approximately 80 nucleotides in length. Their secondary structure includes four short double-helical elements and three loops (D, anti-codon, and T loops). Further hydrogen bonds mediate the characteristic L-shaped molecular structure. tRNAs have two regions of fundamental functional importance: the anti-codon, which is responsible for specific mRNA codon recognition, and the 3' end, to which the tRNAs corresponding amino acid is attached (by aminoacyl-tRNA synthetases). tRNAs cope with the degeneracy of the genetic code in two manners: having more than one tRNA (with a specific anti-codon) for a particular amino acid; and 'wobble' base-pairing, i.e. permitting non-standard base-pairing at the 3rd anti-codon position. The record is from Rfam by way of RNAcentral. Lineage: Eukaryota; Metazoa; Chordata; Mammalia; Artiodactyla; Camelidae. RNAcentral also lists the same sequence under 2 other names.
GUGAGUAUAGCUCAGUGGUGGAGCACAUGCUUAGCAUACAUGAGGUCCUGGGUUCUGUUCCCAGUUUCUCCA